AUUUUUUUAGUAUAAAAAGUAUAUUUGACUUCCAAUCAAAAGGUCUUAGUAAGAAAAAAUA
Molecule: transfer RNA, 61 nt
Filed under: Aneurus sublobatus
Lineage: Eukaryota; Metazoa; Arthropoda; Insecta; Hemiptera; Aradidae
Description: tRNA-Gly
Source: RNAcentral